Molecule: ribosomal RNA, 253 nt
Filed under: uncultured bacterium
Lineage: Bacteria
Description: partial 16S ribosomal RNA
Rfam family: Bacterial small subunit ribosomal RNA
Source: RNAcentral
UACGAAGGGGGCUAGCGUUGCUCGGAAUUACUGGGCGUAAAGCGCACGUAGGCGGUCUUUUAAGUCGGGGGUGAAAUCCUGGAGCUCAACUCCAGAACUGCCUCGAUACUGGAAGACUCGAGUCCGGGAGGGGUGAGUGGAACUGCGAGUGUAGAGGUGAAAUUCGUAGAUAUUCGCAAGAACACCAGUGGCGAAGGCGGCUCACUGGCCCGGUACUGACGCUGAGGUGCGAAAGCGUGGGGAGCAAACAGGG